GCCGGGAUGGCGAAAUGGUAGACGCGCUAGAUUUAGGAUCUAGUGUCCGCAAGGACGUGGAGGUUCAAGUCCUCUUCCCGGCA
Molecule: transfer RNA, 83 nt
Filed under: Candidatus Berkelbacteria bacterium RIFCSPHIGHO2_01_FULL_50_36
Lineage: Bacteria; Candidatus Berkelbacteria
Also listed under: 2 other names
Description: tRNA-Leu
Rfam family: tRNA
About the family: Transfer RNA (tRNA) molecules are approximately 80 nucleotides in length. Their secondary structure includes four short double-helical elements and three loops (D, anti-codon, and T loops).
Source: RNAcentral